This 29-nucleotide small RNA is filed under the name Bombyx mori (domestic silkworm). RNAcentral's name for it is "piRNA piR-bmo-1451287". Lineage: Eukaryota; Metazoa; Arthropoda; Insecta; Lepidoptera; Bombycidae. The record is from RNAcentral.
UCGACGGUGACCCCUGAUAACCCGCAAAC